RNAcentral lists this ribosomal RNA (1512 nucleotides) under Clostridium botulinum. RNAcentral describes it as "bacterial SSU rRNA". It matches the Rfam family "Bacterial small subunit ribosomal RNA". RNAcentral also lists the same sequence under 1 other name. The record is from RNAcentral. Lineage: Bacteria; Bacillati; Bacillota; Clostridia; Eubacteriales; Clostridiaceae.
UAAAUUUAGAGUUUGAUCCUGGCUCAGGACGAACGCUGGCGGCGUGCUUAACACAUGCAAGUCGAGCGAUGAAGCUUCCUUCGGGAAGUGAAUUAGCGGCGGACGGGUGAGUAACACGUGGGUAACCUGCCUCAAAGUGGGGGAUAGCCUUCCGAAAGGAAGAUUAAUACCGCAUAAUAUGAGAGAAUCGCAUGAUUUUCUUAUCAAAGAUUUAUUGCUUUGAGAUGGACCCGCGGCGCAUUAGCUAGUUGGUAAGGUAACGGCUUACCAAGGCAACGAUGCGUAGCCGACCUGAGAGGGUGAUCGGCCACAUUGGAACUGAGACACGGUCCAGACUCCUACGGGAGGCAGCAGUGGGGAAUAUUGCGCAAUGGGGGAAACCCUGACGCAGCAACGCCGCGUGGGUGAUGAAGGUCUUCGGAUUGUAAAGCCCUGUUUUCUAGGACGAUAAUGACGGUACUAGAGGAGGAAGCCACGGCUAACUACGUGCCAGCAGCCGCGGUAAUACGUAGGUGGCGAGCGUUGUCCGGAUUUACUGGGCGUAAAGGGUGCGUAGGCGGAUGUUUAAGUGGGAUGUGAAAUCCCCGGGCUUAACCUGGGGGCUGCAUUCCAAACUGGAUAUCUAGAGUGCAGGAGAGGAAAGCGGAAUUCCUAGUGUAGCGGUGAAAUGCGUAGAGAUUAGGAAGAACACCAGUGGCGAAGGCGGCUUUCUGGACUGUAACUGACGCUGAGGCACGAAAGCGUGGGUAGCAAACAGGAUUAGAUACCCUGGUAGUCCACGCCGUAAACGAUGGAUACUAGGUGUAGGGGGUAUCAACUCCCCCUGUGCCGCAGUUAACACAAUAAGUAUCCCGCCUGGGGAGUACGGUCGCAAGAUUAAAACUCAAAGGAAUUGACGGGGGCCCGCACAAGCAGCGGAGCAUGUGGUUUAAUUCGAAGCAACGCGAAGAACCUUACCUGGACUUGACAUCCCUUGCAUAGCCUAGAGAUAGGUGAAGCCCUUCGGGGCAAGGAGACAGGUGGUGCAUGGUUGUCGUCAGCUCGUGUCGUGAGAUGUUAGGUUAAGUCCUGCAACGAGCGCAACCCUUGUUAUUAGUUGCUACCAUUAAGUUGAGCACUCUAAUGAGACUGCCUGGGUAACCAGGAGGAAGGUGGGGAUGACGUCAAAUCAUCAUGCCCCUUAUGUCCAGGGCUACACACGUGCUACAAUGGUAGGUACAAUAAGACGCAAGACCGUGAGGUGGAGCAAAACUUAUAAAACCUAUCUCAGUUCGGAUUGUAGGCUGCAACUCGCCUACAUGAAGCUGGAGUUGCUAGUAAUCGCGAAUCAGAAUGUCGCGGUGAAUACGUUCCCGGGCCUUGUACACACCGCCCGUCACACCAUGAGAGCUGGUAACACCCGAAGUCCGUGAGGUAACCGUAAGGAACCAGCGGCCGAAGGUGGGAUUAGUGAUUGGGGUGAAGUCGUAACAAGGUAGCCGUAGGAGAACCUGCGGCUGGAUCACCUCCUUU